GAUGAACGCUAGCGGGAGGCUUAACACAUGCAAGUCGAGCGGUAUUGCCCUUCGGGGUGAGAGAGCGGCGCACGGGUGCGUAACGCGUAUGCAACCUGCCUUAUGCAGGGGAAUAGCCCGGGGAAACCCGGAUUAAUACUCCAUAGAUCAGUAGAGCCGCAUGGUUUAACUGGUAAAGAUUCAUCGGCAUAAGAUGGGCAUGCGUCUGAUUAGCUAGUUGGUAGGUAACGCCUACCAAGGCGACGAUCAGUAGGGGUUCUGAGAGGAUAAUCCCCCACACUGGUACUGAGACACGGACCAGACUCCUACGGGAGGCAG
RNAcentral lists this ribosomal RNA (318 nucleotides) under uncultured Bacteroidota bacterium. RNAcentral's name for it is "bacterial SSU rRNA". It matches the Rfam family "Bacterial small subunit ribosomal RNA", at positions 28 to 351 of the family's 1533-position model. The record is from RNAcentral. Lineage: Bacteria; Pseudomonadati; Bacteroidota.